This 497-nucleotide ribosomal RNA is filed under the name uncultured bacterium. RNAcentral describes it as "partial 16S ribosomal RNA". It matches the Rfam family "Bacterial small subunit ribosomal RNA", at positions 28 to 507 of the family's 1533-position model. The record is from RNAcentral.
GACGAACGCUGGCGGCGUGCCUAAUACAUGCAAGUUGAGCGAUGAAGAUUGGUGCUUGCACCAAUUUGAAGAGCAGCGAACGGGUGAGUAACGCGUGGGGAAUCUGCCUUUGAGCGGGGGACAACAUUUGGAAACGAAUGCUAAUACCGCAUAAUAACUUUAAACAUAAGUUUUAAGUUUGAAAGAUGCAAUUGCAUCACUCAAAGAUGAUCCCGCGUUGUAUUAGCUAGUUGGUGAGGUAAAGGCUCACCAAGGCGAUGAUACAUAGCCGACCUGAGAGGGUGAUCGGCCACAUUGGGACUGAGACACGGCCCAAACUCCUACGGGAGGCAGCAGUAGGGAAUCUUCGGCGAUGGACGAAAGUCUGACCGAGCAACGCCGCGUGAGUGAAGAAGGUUUUCGGAUCGUAAAACUCUGUUGGUAGAGAAGAACGUUGGUGAGAGUGGAAAGCUCAUCAAGUGACGGUAACUACCCAGAAAGGGACGGCUAACUACGUG